AUGAUUGGCCUGACGGCCUUAUCAAUAUUAAUCCCAACACCUCUGUGAACCGUUUUCGGCCCUCGGGCUGAUCUUUUUUUACCAUACAAACACUGUGUAAUGAACGUCUUGUUAUCUUAACAAAACA
Molecule: unclassified non-coding RNA, 127 nt
Filed under: soil metagenome
Description: partial internal transcribed spacer 1
Source: RNAcentral